UACGUAGGGGGCUAGCGUUGUCCGGAUUUAUUGGGCGUAAAGAGCGUGUAGGCGGCCAGGUAGGUCCGUUGUGAAAACUCGAGGCUCAACCUCGAGACGUCGGCGGAAACCCUCUGGCUAGAGUUCGGUAGGGGAGACUGGAAUUCCUGGUGUAGCGGUGAAAUGCGCAGAUAUCAGGAGGAACACCGGUGGCGAAGGCGGGUCUCUGGGCCGAAACUGACGCUGAGGAGCGAAAGCGUGGGGAGCAAACAGG
RNAcentral lists this ribosomal RNA (253 nucleotides) under uncultured bacterium. RNAcentral describes it as "partial 16S ribosomal RNA". It matches the Rfam family "Bacterial small subunit ribosomal RNA", at positions 524 to 776 of the family's 1533-position model. The record is from RNAcentral.